AUGGAUAUCUGUUAUCGGUCUUUACUACUGCCGACAAAGAGACAUCUGCUCAUUCCGGAAGUAUUUCAGCAGGCGUUCAACCUCUUCACCACGUGUUCUAAGAAUGUCUCUUAAUCCUCUUCCUCCCUUUCCGUGUGGAACCAGGAAAAGAAUAUACACACACGACUAAAACGAGAUACAGGUUGCCUUAGACGGUCAUCUUUUCAGCCAACCCACUUCUGAAGCUCUGUGAUUCUACUAAACCAAAAAGGGACGGUAGGGAGGAGAAGGACGUGGUGUCUUGGUGCCUUCUUACAUGGUCAGUUUCUCUGCUGAUCUCUUCACUUCCCCGAUGGACUCAACUCUACCCCCGGACAAACGAAGAGACUGACCCCCCGGAAAGCAGAGAUGAUCUGCCGUAAUUCCACCAACUGCUCAAGGGUUAUAAGGCUUCCCUGGAGCUUAGCAGACACCUGGAAUGAUUUAUCGUUCAAUGGACUGGGCAGUAAAGAGGGCUGUCGUCCAGGAAAUCACCUCACACACCUUAAUUCAAAAGAAAGCAUCACCGACAGGAAUACAUGCACAGCCUGAUGGUCAACACUCAGUGUGCCAGACAAACCGACAGAUGAAUACUUUGCUCACUUCCAAGGUGACCGUAAGCUGGCUCAGCUUCAUCCUGGGAGGGGACGAUACGGCUCAGCCCACAGGGACCUAAUUGGGUAACUGCCACAUCAGUGUUCCGGAUGAUGGCAUUCAAAGAAGAGAACCUUCCGGAAAAACAUAGGCACAGAUCUGGAAUGAUAAUGACCCCUUUUAAGGAAAGCACCAUAGCCCUGACAUUUGUGGCAGAGAAGAACCGCCUACCCAGAAUCCUCACUCAGGCCGAAUACCUGUGGCUAAGGCUGAACAGGAAUGAGUUUUUCACUUGAUAAUGAACUAAUUUGGUGGUUCACAUUCAAAGACCAGGGAAAGAGUUCUGGACUAAGCCAAAGGACCUGGGUUCAAAUCCCAGCUCUUCAUCUGUAAAGGGCAGCUAGGUGGCGCAGUAGAUAGAGUA
This is a long non-coding RNA of Vombatus ursinus (common wombat), 1036 nucleotides long. RefSeq lists it as uncharacterized. NCBI's taxonomy places the organism in Eukaryota, Metazoa, Chordata, Mammalia, Diprotodontia, Vombatidae. The transcript has 3 exons. The record is from RefSeq and is a predicted model, not a curated record.